This 649-nucleotide ribosomal RNA is filed under the name uncultured bacterium. RNAcentral describes it as "bacterial SSU rRNA". It matches the Rfam family "Bacterial small subunit ribosomal RNA", at positions 8 to 650 of the family's 1533-position model. The record is from RNAcentral.
AGAGUUUGAUCCUGGCUCAGAUUGAACGCUGGCGGCAUGCCUUACACAUGCAAGUCGAACGGCAGCACGGGAGUAAUCCUGGUGGCGAGUGGCGAACGGGUGAGUAAUAUAUCGGAACGUGCCCAGUCGUGGGGGAUAACGCAGCGAAAGCUGUGCUAAUACCGCAUACGAUCUCUGGAUGAAAGCGGGGGACUCGCAAGAGCCUCGCGCGAUUGGAGCGGCCGAUAUCAGAUUAGCUAGUUGGUGGGGUAAAGGCCCACCAAGGCGACGAUCUGUAGCUGGUCUGAGAGGACGACCAGCCACACUGGAACUGAGACACGGUCCAGACUCCUACGGGAGGCAGCAGUGGGGAAUUUUGGACAAUGGGCGCAAGCCUGAUCCAGCAAUGCCGCGUGCAGGAUGAAGGCCUUCGGGUUGUAAACUGCUUUUGUACGGAACGAAAAGGUCUGCCUUAAUACGGUGGGCCCAUGACGGUACCGUAAGAAUAAGCACCGGCUAACUACGUGCCAGCAGCCGCGGUAAUACGUAGGGUGCGAGCGUUAAUCGGAAUUACUGUGCGUAAAGCGUGCGCAGGCGGUUAUAUAAGACAGAUGUGAAAUCCCCGGGCUCAUCCUGAGACCUGCAUUUGUGACUGUAUAGCGAGAGUACG